GCAGUUUUUGUGUACAUAAAUUUUAAAAGAACCACGUGUUCGAUUGUUAGUUUCGUUUUUGCUAAAGAUAUCCUGCGGAUAUAAACAUAUACGCAUCUGUAUAUGCAUGUAAUAUUAUACACUUUUUAACAUUUAUAACUUUUUAGUAGUUUUUUUUUUUUAAUUUACAUUAUUUUAUCUCUCUAUUUAUCUAUACAUCUGCCCAUCUAUCUACUUAUCUAUUUAUCUUCAUCCCUUUCUAUCUAUCCCUUUUCUGUUUACCUCAUUGACAAUAUUUUUUUUUCAAUUAUGAAUUUGUUUUGCACCGUUUGUUUUAUAUUUCACUUGUUUUUUUUUUUCCAAAAAAAUGUAGCAAAAAAAGUAGAAAGUUCUGGAGUAUUUCAGAAGAGCUUAAACUUUUUUACCGCUUCUGAUUUUCAAAAUAAAAUUAUUAAAAACGAAAAUGUUUGUAUACAAAAUUAUAAAAAAAAAAAUGGCAUAAAAAGUACACAUCAUCCAUAUUGUUCUAUUAUUGACAACGUCAAAAAAAACAUAACUUAUUUUUUUAAACGAAAGAACAGCAUAAUUGAAAAUAUAAAAAACUUAUAUAGUAAAGAAAGUUUAUGGUUUGUAACAGGGCAUUGUCAAAAUUUUUUUUAUAAAAAUUCCUUUUUCAAUGUUGUUGGAUUAGAAGUAGUAAAAGAAGUAGACCCUAAAAAGUUCAUACUCACAAGGCAAAAAAAAAAGAAUUCUGAUAACACAUUAGAAAAAAAUAUCAACUAUGAAUUACGUAAUAUGUAUAAAGUAAAAAGGUAUAUUAUUUUUUACAAAAACAAUGAAUCUAGCUCGGACAAGAAAGGUGAAACUAGCUCUAAUGAUAAGGAUCAAACAAUCUCUGAUAAAAAAAGCCAAACAAACUCUGAUGAGGAGGGCCAAACUAACUAUGAUAAGAAAGACAGUACUAACAUCGUUAUGAACAACAAAAACAAAGAUGGAAUGCAAAACAAUUUUAUUAUGUGCCAACACGUUUACUUCAUUUUACACAUACAUGACAAAAAAAAUAAUAAAUUUUACAUUUUGUCUAAUAGUACAAAUGAAAAUGAUACUCUUGGUCUAUACGAAAUAAGUGAAUUAAAAAAAGAUAAGUUACCAGAGAUGUUAGAUGAUAAUAUGACAAAUAAAAAGAAAUUAAACGAGUUAACUAUGAUGUCUUUAAUAAAUAAAAAUGAAAAAUUGAAUGACAUAGCUAAUAAUAAUACAUAUAUAAAUAAUUUUAUAAAUGCUCCUAGUCAUAGUAAUAUUUUUAAUAAUAACACAUUAUUCAGUGACUAUGUUAAAAAGGUAUUUAAUUUUUAUAAUAAUUCAGGUAUAUUAUUUGAUCAUAGUAUAUCGAACGAUAAACAAUCCAACCCAUUUAUUUUUUUAAUUUAUGGAGAUCACAACUUUUUGUUUAAAGAUAAAAGUUACUCUCAGCAUCUUAUUAACUUUUUUAUAAAAAGCGAAGAAGAAGAAAAAGGAGUGCAGAAUUUUUGUGAAAAUAUUUUUAAAAAUAACAAGGGGUAUAAAUUAUGUAUAAAAAAUGAUUUACAAGAUAAACCUUCUUACUUAAUAAAAUACACCAAGC
Molecule: long non-coding RNA, 1603 nt
Filed under: Piliocolobus tephrosceles (Ugandan red Colobus)
Lineage: Eukaryota; Metazoa; Chordata; Mammalia; Primates; Cercopithecidae
Description: lncRNA (ENSPTEG00000002958.1)
Source: RNAcentral